RNAcentral lists this ribosomal RNA (433 nucleotides) under uncultured bacterium. RNAcentral's name for it is "partial 16S ribosomal RNA". It matches the Rfam family "Bacterial small subunit ribosomal RNA", at positions 29 to 507 of the family's 1533-position model. The record is from RNAcentral.
AACGAACGCUGGCGGCAUGCCUAACACAUGCAAGUCGAACGAGACCUUCGUGUCUAGUUGCGCACGGGUGCGUAACGCGUGGGAACCUUCCCUUAUGUUCGGGAUAACUCUCCGACAGGGGUGCUAAUACCGGAUAAUUUCUUCUGACCAAAGAUUUAUCCCCUUUGGAUGGGCCCGCGUUGGAUUAGCUAGUUGGUAGGGUAAAAGCCUACCAAGGCGACGAUCCAUAGCUGGUCUGAGAGGAUGAUCAGCCACACUGGGACUGAGACACGGCCCAGACUACUACGGGAGGCAGCAGUGGGGAAUAUUGGAAAAUGGGCGAAAGCAUGAUCCAGCAAUGCCGCGUGAGUGAUGAAGGCCUUAGGGUUGUAAAGCUCUUUAACCCGGGAUGAUAAUGACAGUACCGAGAGAAUAAGCACCGGCUAACUUCGUG